Molecule: ribosomal RNA, 253 nt
Filed under: uncultured bacterium
Lineage: Bacteria
Description: partial 16S ribosomal RNA
Rfam family: Bacterial small subunit ribosomal RNA
Source: RNAcentral
UACGUAGGGUGCAAGCGUUGUCCGGAAUUAUUGGGCGUAAAGAGCUCGUAGGCGGUUUGUCGCGUCGACUGUGAAAACCCGAGGCUUAACCUCGGGCCUGCAGUCGAUACGGGCAGACUAGAGUUCGGUAGGGGAGACUGGAAUUCCUGGUGUAGCGGUGAAAUGCGCAGAUAUCAGGAGGAACACCGAUGGCGAAGGCAGGUCUCUGGGCCGAUACUGACGCUGAGGAGCGAAAGCGUGGGGAGCGAACAGG